AAAGACUUGACGGUGUUUCACAACAACCUAGAGGAGCCUGUCCAAUAACCGAUAACCCACGAUUAACCCGACCUGCCCUAGCCUAUCAGUCUAUAUACCGCCGUCGCCAGCUUACCUUGUGAAAGAAAUAAAGUAAACUCAACAGAUCCCCCCUAACACGACAGGUCGAGGUGUAACAAAUGGACAGGUAAAGAUGGGCUACAUUUUCUACAACAGAAAAUACGAAUAAACUAUGAAACUAAAAACUGAAGGCGGAUUUAGCAGUAUGUUAAGAACAAAAUACCUAACUGAAAUCAAUGCAAUGAAGCGCGUACACACCGCCCGUCAUCCCUG
RNAcentral lists this ribosomal RNA (333 nucleotides) under Dipsas albifrons (Sauvage's snail-eater). Its description in RNAcentral is "partial small subunit ribosomal RNA". The record is from RNAcentral. Lineage: Eukaryota; Metazoa; Chordata; Lepidosauria; Squamata; Dipsadidae.